AAUAAUUAAUAGUAUAAUCUGCUCAAUGAGUAUUAAUAAAUAGCCGCAAUACGUGCUAAGGUAGUAUAAUAAUUUGUCUUUUAAUUAAAGACCAAACGAAGGAUUUAACAUUUUAGUUUAUAUAUAUAAUUUAAUCAUUAAAAUUAUUUUAAUAAUUAAAAAAUUAUUUUUAAACAAAAAGACGACAAGACCCUAUCGAACUUAACUUUAGUUUAACUGGGGUAGUUAAUUAAUUAAAACUUUAUUAAAAUUUUUUAAUAUAAGAUCUAUUAAAAUUAAUUUUAAGAUCAAGUUACCGUAGGGAUAACAGUGUAAUAAAAUUUUUAAGAACUUAUUUUAAUAAUAGAUUACAACCUCGAUGUUGAAUUAAUAAUCUAAUUUACGCAAUAGUUUAAAAAGAAAGUCUGUUUCGACUUUUUAAAUAA
RNAcentral lists this ribosomal RNA (425 nucleotides) under Kiekie curvipes. Its description in RNAcentral is "partial large subunit ribosomal RNA". The record is from RNAcentral. Lineage: Eukaryota; Metazoa; Arthropoda; Arachnida; Araneae; Ctenidae.